This 226-nucleotide ribosomal RNA is filed under the name uncultured bacterium. RNAcentral's name for it is "partial 16S ribosomal RNA". It matches the Rfam family "Bacterial small subunit ribosomal RNA", at positions 29 to 244 of the family's 1533-position model. The record is from RNAcentral.
AACGAACGCUGGCGGCGCGCCUAACACAUGCAAGUCGAACGAGAAGGCGUAGCAAUACGCUUGUAGAGUGGCGAACGGGUGAGUAAUACGUGGGUGACCUACCCUCGAGUGGGGAAUAACCCGCCGAAAGGCGGGCUAAUGCCGCGUACGCUUCCGUCCUCACGGGGACGGAAGGAAAGCUGUACCGUGGGUACGGCGCUCAAGGAGUGGGCUCACGUCCUAUCAG